This 491-nucleotide ribosomal RNA is filed under the name uncultured bacterium. RNAcentral's name for it is "partial 16S ribosomal RNA". It matches the Rfam family "Bacterial small subunit ribosomal RNA", at positions 29 to 506 of the family's 1533-position model. The record is from RNAcentral.
AGUGAACGCUGGCGGUAGGCCUAACACAUGCAAGUCGAACGGCAGCACAGUAAGAGCUUGCUCUUACGGGUGGCGAGUGGCGGACGGGUGAGGAAUACAUCGGAAUCUACUUUUUCGUGGGGGAUAACGUAGGGAAACUUACGCUAAUACCGCAUACGACCUACGGGUGAAAGCAGGGGAUCUUCGGACCUUGCGCGAUUGAAUGAGCCGAUGUCGGAUUAGCUAGUUGGCGGGGUAAAGGCCCACCAAGGCGACGAUCCGUAGCUGGCCUGAGAGGAUGAUCAGCCACACUGGAACUGAGACACAGUCCAGACUCCUACGGGAGGCAGCAGUGGGGAAUAUUGGACAAUGGGCGCAAGCCUGAUCCAGCCAUACCGCGUGGGUGAAGAAGGCCUUCGGGUUGUAAAGCCCUUUUGUUGGGAAAGAAAAGCAGCAGGUUAAUACCCCGCUGUUCUGACGGUACCCAAAGAAUAAGCACCGGCUAACUUCGU